AGUGGCGAACGGGUGAGUAACACGUGAGUAACCUGCCCUUGACUCUGGGAUAAGCGUUGGAAACGACGUCUAAUACCGGAUACGAGCUUCCACCGCAUGGUGAGUUGCUGGAAAGAAUUUUGGUCAAGGAUGGACUCGCGGCCUAUCAGCUUGUUGGUGAGGUAAUGGCUCACCAAGGCGACGACGGGUAGCCGGCCUGAGAGGGUGACCGGCCACACUGGGACUGAGACACGGCCCAGACUCCUACGGGAGGCAGCAGUGGGGAAUAUUGCACAAUGGGCGAAAGCCUGAUGCAGCAACGCCGCGUGAGGGACGACGGCCUUCGGGUUGUAAACCUCUUUUAGCAGGGAAGAAGCGAAAGUGACGGUACCUGCAGAAAAAGCACCGGCUAACUACGUGCCAGCAGCCGCGGUAAUACGUAGGGUGCAAGCGUUGUCCGGAAUUAUUGGGCGUAAAGAGCUCGUAGGCGGUUUGUCGCGUCUGCUGUGAAAUCCCGAGGCUCAACCUCGGGUCUGCAGUGGGUACGGGCAGACUAGAGUGCGGUAGGGGAGAUUGGAAUUCCUGGUGUAGCGGUGGAAUGCGCAGAUAUCAGGAGGAACACCGAUG
RNAcentral lists this ribosomal RNA (606 nucleotides) under Plantibacter sp. Its description in RNAcentral is "bacterial SSU rRNA". It matches the Rfam family "Bacterial small subunit ribosomal RNA", at positions 94 to 714 of the family's 1533-position model. The record is from RNAcentral. Lineage: Bacteria; Bacillati; Actinomycetota; Actinomycetes; Micrococcales; Microbacteriaceae.